Molecule: non-coding RNA, 591 nt
Organism: Chionomys nivalis (European snow vole)
Lineage: Eukaryota; Metazoa; Chordata; Mammalia; Rodentia; Cricetidae
Source: the annotation of a RefSeq genome assembly
AUGAACAUGCUUCCUGACACCUGCUCGGUCCUGGUGCUCCUGUUAAUGCUCAAGAGUAGCAAUGGAGACUCAGUGUCCCAGACAGAAGGCCUGGUUACUGUCACAGAGGGGUCACUUGUGAUGCUGAACUGCACCUAUCAGACUACUUACUCAAGUUCUUUCCCUUUGUGGUACGUGCAAUAUCCCAACAAAGCCCCUCAGCGACUUCUGUGGAGCACCACAGACAACAAGAGGACAGAGCACCAAGGGUUCCAUGCCACUCUCCAUAAGAGCAACAGCUCCUUCCACCUGCAGAAGCCCUCAGUGCAGCUGUCGGACUCUGCCCUGUACUACUGUGCUGUGGGUGACACAGUGAAGGAGACUACAGGGGAAGCUGCACACAAACCAAGGGGGCUGAGGGCCGAGGGGAGUGGCCCUGUGAGGGAGGGCCGGGGUAUUUUCCUGGAAGUACAACACCCUCAUCUGCAUCUCCAGUGCCUCCUGAAGCUCACACCAGGAAGUCAGUCUGUCACAGUUAUGACAGACAUUCAAACUGAGUGUGAGAAGGACGGAAACUCCUUCUACCGGAGGAUCCUCUCACUAUGGGACUGA